Molecule: long non-coding RNA, 290 nt
Filed under: Malus domestica (apple)
Lineage: Eukaryota; Viridiplantae; Streptophyta; Magnoliopsida; Rosales; Rosaceae
Description: long non-coding RNA (MDOM_LNC008539)
Source: RNAcentral
AAAGCGUCCAUCUAUGACCAACUCGUAAUUUAUGUUUUUAGAGGUAUCACAACUUUAGUUGGGAUUAGUCACUAUCUUGCAACCUUUUGGGUUUUAAGCAUCAUUGUAUUCUAAACAGUUAACACUACCAUAUCAUCUCUACUAUAGAGAUAAUUAAUUAGAUUACAAUAAUCUAAUCAUUGAUUAAUAAAGAACAAUGUUUUGUCAAACAAAACAUUUAUCCAUUUCACUAUAGUGACGGAAUUUAGUUCCUUAAAAUUGGAAUAUAAAGACAAUCUAUGUUUUUCCAA